AAUUGGAGGGCAAGUCUGGUGCCAGCAGCCGCGGUAAUUCCAGCUCCAAUAGCGUAUAUUAAAGUUGUUGCAGUUAAAAAGCUCGUAGUUGAAUUUCGGGGUUAGUAGGCUGGUCGUGCCACAGGUAUGAACUGGUCUUACUGACUUCUCCUUUCUGAAGAACUGUAAUGCCAUUAAUUUGGUGUUGCAGGGAAACAGGACUGUUACUUUGAAAAAAUUAGAGUGUUUAAAGCAGGCUAACGCUUGAAUACAUUAGCAUGGAAUAAUGAAAUAGGACGUUUGAUUCUAUUUUGUUGGUUUCUAGGAUCGACGUAAUGAUUAAUAGGGAUAGUUGGGGGCAUUAGUAUUCAAUUGUCAGAGGUGAAAUUCUUGGAUUUAUUGAAGACUAACUACUGCGAAAGCAUUUGCCAAGGAUGUUUUCAUUAAUCAAGAACGAAAGUUAGGGGAUCGAAGACGAUCAGAUACCGUCGUAGUCUUAACCAUAAACUAUGCCGACUAGGGAUCGGAUGAUGUUAAUUUUUUAAUGACUCAUUCGGCGCCUUACGGGAAACCAAAGUGU
RNAcentral lists this ribosomal RNA (559 nucleotides) under uncultured Glomus. Its description in RNAcentral is "SSU rRNA". It matches the Rfam family "Eukaryotic small subunit ribosomal RNA", at positions 546 to 1106 of the family's 1831-position model. Lineage: Eukaryota; Fungi; Glomeromycota; Glomeromycetes; Glomerales; Glomeraceae. The record is from RNAcentral.